GGCCUUUAGCCCACCAAGUAUUAAAGGUCCAGCCUGCCCAGUGAACCUCUUCAACGGCCGCGGUAUCAUAACCGUGCAAAGGUAGCGUAAUCACUUGUCCCCUAAAUAGGGACCCGUAUGAAUGACUAAAUGAGGACACCCCUGUCUCCUAAGGCCCAUCAAUAAAACUGAUCUAUCAGUACAAAAGCUGAUAUACUAACAUAAGACGAGAAGACCCUGUGGAGCUUUAAACGUCCUACUAAUUAACCGCCUACCGAAGUCGCCAUGACAUCAACAACUGCAGAAAAUAGAAGUCCGUUUUAAGUUGGGGCGACUACGGAAUAAAACAGACCUUCCAUGUAAUAAGACUUACCCUCAAACAAGGCCGACGGGCCAUCGCUUGACCCAGUAAAACUGAUCAACGAACCAAGUUACCCCAGGGAUAACAGCGCUAUCCCUUUCAAGAGUCCUUAUCGCCAAAGGGGCUUACGACCUCGAUGUUGGAUCAGGACACCCCGGUGGUGCAGCCACUACCAAAGGUUCGUUUGUUCAACGAUUAAAGUCCU
This 545-nucleotide ribosomal RNA is filed under the name Pseudogekko sumiklab (Bicol false gecko). RNAcentral's name for it is "LSU rRNA". It matches the Rfam family "Bacterial large subunit ribosomal RNA", at positions 1829 to 2597 of the family's 2925-position model. The record is from RNAcentral. Lineage: Eukaryota; Metazoa; Chordata; Lepidosauria; Squamata; Gekkonidae.